RNAcentral lists this ribosomal RNA (200 nucleotides) under uncultured bacterium. Its description in RNAcentral is "partial 16S ribosomal RNA". It matches the Rfam family "Bacterial small subunit ribosomal RNA", at positions 28 to 231 of the family's 1533-position model. The record is from RNAcentral.
GAUGAACGCUAGCGGCAGGCUUAACACAUGCAAGUCGAGGGGUAUGGUUCUUCGGAACCAGAGACCGGCGCACGGGUGCGUAACGCGUAUGCAAUCUACCUUUUACAGAGGGAUAGCCCAGAGAAAUUUGGAUUAAUACCUCAUAGUAUAGCAGCUUCGCAUGAAGCCACUAUUAAAGUCACAACGGUAAAAGAUGAGCA